This 253-nucleotide ribosomal RNA is filed under the name uncultured bacterium. RNAcentral describes it as "partial 16S ribosomal RNA". It matches the Rfam family "Bacterial small subunit ribosomal RNA", at positions 524 to 776 of the family's 1533-position model. The record is from RNAcentral.
AACGUAGGAGGCGAGCGUUAUCCGGAUUUACUGGGUGUAAAGCGCGAGCAGGCGGUGUGGUAAGUGGUGUGUGAAAGCGCCCGGCUCAACCGGGCGAGGACAUGCUAGACUGCCAGACUAGAGGUAGGUAGAGGCGGGUGGAAUUCCGGGUGUAGUGGUGAAAUGCGUAGAGAUCCGGAGGAACACCAGUGGCGAAGGCGACCCGCUGGGCCUGACCUGACGCUCAGACGCGAAAGCAUGGGGAGCGAACGGG